AGGCGGAGACUUGGGCAAUUGCCGGGCAUCCCAGAGGGCAUUGCACUUGUCUCGGUCUGA
MicroRNA precursor from Acanthochromis polyacanthus (spiny chromis), 60 nucleotides. Ensembl annotates it as microRNA 25. Its record names the gene mir25. The record is from Ensembl. NCBI's taxonomy places the organism in Eukaryota, Metazoa, Chordata, Actinopteri, Pomacentridae.